CAGAACUAAAGGGCACUGCCUCAAAAUUGAGGGACGAUCUUUUCAAACAGAGAUGGAAGCCCGAAGGUCAAAUGGAAGUUGGAAGUCCAAAGUCAAGGUCCAUGGAGUUGACUGUUCACAGCCGACCAGGAAGAAGGUUGACAGCUGGC
Long non-coding RNA from Hypanus sabinus (Atlantic stingray), 149 nucleotides. RefSeq lists it as uncharacterized. The record is from RefSeq and is a predicted model, not a curated record. NCBI's taxonomy places the organism in Eukaryota, Metazoa, Chordata, Chondrichthyes, Myliobatiformes, Dasyatidae. The transcript has 3 exons.